UACGAAGGGUGCAAGCGUUACUCGGAAUUACUGGGCGUAAAGCGUGCGUAGGUGGUUCGUUAAGUCUGAUGUGAAAGCCCUGGGCUCAACCUGGGAAUGGCAUUGGAAACUGGCGAUCUAGAGUGCGGUAGAGGGUAGUGGAAUUCCCGGUGUAGCAGUGAAAUGCGUAGAGAUCGGGAGGAACAUCUGUGGCGAAGGCGACUGCCUGGACCAGCACUGACACUGAGCACGAAAGCGUGGGGAGCAAACAGG
RNAcentral lists this ribosomal RNA (252 nucleotides) under uncultured bacterium. RNAcentral describes it as "partial 16S ribosomal RNA". It matches the Rfam family "Bacterial small subunit ribosomal RNA", at positions 524 to 776 of the family's 1533-position model. The record is from RNAcentral.